CCUACGGGGUGCAGCAGUGAGGAAUAUUGGUCAAUGGACGAGAGUCUGAACCAGCCAAGUAGCGUGAAGGAUGACUGCCCUAUGGGUUGUAAACUUCUUUUAUAUGGGAAUAAAAUGUUCCACGUGUGGGAUUUUGUAUGUACCCUAUGAAUAAGGAUCGGCUAACUCCGUGCCAGCAGCCGCGGUAAUACGGAGGAUCCGAGCGUUAUCCGGAUUUAUUGGGUUUAAAGGGAGCGUAGGUGGAUUGUUAAGUCAGUUGUGAAAGUUUGCGGCCCAACCGUAAAAUUGCAGUUGAAACUGGCAGUCUUGAGUACAGUAGAGGUGGGCGGAAUUCGUGGUGUAGCGGUGAAAUGCUUAGAUAUCACGAAGAACUCCGAUUGCGAAGGCAGUUCACUGGACUGCAACUGACACUGAGGCUCGAAAGUGUGGGUAUCAAACAGGAUUAGAUACCCGGGUAGUC
RNAcentral lists this ribosomal RNA (460 nucleotides) under uncultured bacterium. Its description in RNAcentral is "partial 16S ribosomal RNA". It matches the Rfam family "Bacterial small subunit ribosomal RNA", at positions 338 to 795 of the family's 1533-position model. The record is from RNAcentral.